This 254-nucleotide ribosomal RNA is filed under the name uncultured bacterium. RNAcentral describes it as "partial 16S ribosomal RNA". It matches the Rfam family "Bacterial small subunit ribosomal RNA", at positions 524 to 776 of the family's 1533-position model. The record is from RNAcentral.
UACGAAGGGGGCGAGCGUUAUUCGGAAUCACUGGGCGUAAAGCGUGCGUAGGCUGUUCUGCAAGUCAGGAGUGAAAGCCCAAGGCUCAACCUUGGAAGCGCUCUUGAAACUGCAGGACUUGGAUUUGGGAGAGGAUAGCGGAAUUGUCAGUGUAGCAGUGAAAUGCGUAGAUAUUGACAGGAACACCAGUGGCGCAAGCGGCUAUCUCGGACCAACAUCGACGCUGAGGCACGAAAGCGUGGGGAGCAAACAGG